AUUGAACGCUGGCGGCAGGCCUAACACAUGCAAGUCGAGCGGAUGAAGGGAGAUUGCUCCUGGCUUCAGCGGCGGACGGGUGAGUAAUGCAUAGGAAUAUGCCUGGUAGUGGGGGAUAACGUACGGAAACGGGAGCUAAUAUAGCAUACGUCCUGAGGGAGAAAGUGGGGGAUCUUCGGACAUAACGCUAUCAGAUGAGACUAGGACGGAUUAGCUAGUUGGUGGGGUAAAGGCCUACCAAGGCGACGAUCCGUAACUGAUCUGAGAGGAUGAUCAGUCACACUGGAACUGAGACACGGUCCAGACUCCUACGGGAGGCAGCAGUGGGGAAUAUUGGACAAUGGGCGAAAGCCUGAUCCAGCCAUGCCGCGUGUGUGAAGAAGGUCUUCGGAUUGUAAAGCACUUUAAGUUGGGAGGAAGAUCAGUAAGUUAAUACCUGGCUGUUUUGACGUUACCAACAGAAUAAGCACCGGCUAACUUCGUG
This 484-nucleotide ribosomal RNA is filed under the name uncultured bacterium. Its description in RNAcentral is "partial 16S ribosomal RNA". It matches the Rfam family "Bacterial small subunit ribosomal RNA", at positions 30 to 507 of the family's 1533-position model. The record is from RNAcentral.